UAAUACGUAGGGUGCAAGCGUUGUCCGGAAUUAUUGGGCGUAAAGAGCUCGUAGGCGGUCUGUCGCGUCGGCUGUGAAAACUCGGGGCUCAACCCCGAGCCUGCAGUCGAUACGGGCAGACUAGAGUGCUGUAGGGGAGACUGGAAUUCCUGGUGUAGCGGUGAAAUGCGCAGAUAUCAGGAGGAACACCGGUGGCGAAGGCGGGUCUCUGGGCAGUAACUGACGCUGAGGAGCGAAAGCGUGGGGAGCAAACAGGAUUAGAUACCCUGGUAGUCCACGCCGUAAACGGUGGGUGCUAGGUGUAGGUCGUAUUCCACGCGAUCUGUGCCGCAGCUAACGCAUUAAGCACCCCGCCUGGGGAGUACGGCCGCAAGGCUA
Molecule: ribosomal RNA, 378 nt
Filed under: uncultured bacterium
Lineage: Bacteria
Description: bacterial SSU rRNA
Rfam family: Bacterial small subunit ribosomal RNA
Source: RNAcentral